Long non-coding RNA from Lycium ferocissimum, 702 nucleotides. RefSeq lists it as uncharacterized. The transcript is spliced from 3 exons. The record is from RefSeq and is a predicted model, not a curated record. Lineage: Eukaryota; Viridiplantae; Streptophyta; Magnoliopsida; Solanales; Solanaceae.
GCAAUUUCAAAUACACAACAGUUGACUGUCUCUUCAUGCGAAAGGUUGAUCAAACAUAUCUUGCAUACAACAACCCAGAAACUGGACCCAAUGUAGCCAACGAAGAAGACGAUAUAUGUCAAUAUGUUAAGGGUACAGAUUGCAUGCAAAUGUCCCUUGGCAUUCAGUUGACAAUAUUUUUAUACCUGUCAACAUUAAAGAGGAUAAUCAUUGGAUUUUAGUCGUACUCUCAUUCAAUGACAGGCGACUUUAUGUGUACAACUCAUACCGAGGCAGCGCAGGCCACAAUGCCGUUGUUAGAAAGGAAGUACAAAAGCUUGUUGCCCUCCUGCCACAUUAUCUACACAUAAGUGGAUUCUACACUCAAAAAACUGGCAUAAAUUGGCAGAAUCAUCCAGCUAAUAUGGACAUGACACAGAAUGAGAACCUUCAAGUGGAGUAUGUAGAAAAUUUGCCGCAGCAAGACACCACCAGCAUGGAUUGUGGUGCAUACAUAGCAGCGUUUGCUGAAUAUCUAAGCACUGGUGAAGGUAUCCCAGCACAAAUCGAUACAACAAUGAUCCGCACUAGGUAUGGCGCACUCCUUUGGGACUAUGCUGCACGGAAGAUCGAUGAACAUGCUAUGAGCGACAUUGAGGCGCCACCAAAACAAGUUAGGCGCAAAAGUGGAUUAUGGCAAAGUCGACGAAUUGAUAUUACUUA